UCCAAGGCUAAAUACUCUCUAAUGACCGAUAGUGAACAAGUACCGUGAGGGAAAGGCGAAAAGAACCCCGGGAGGGGAGUGAAAUAGAACCUGAAAUCAUAUGCAUACAAGCAGUAGGAGCAGAUUUAUUCUGUGACUGCGUACCUUUUGUAUAAUGGGUCAGCGACUUACUUCUCAGUAGCAAGGUUAACCAAAUAGGGGAGCCGUAGGGAAACCGAGUCUUAAAUGGGCGUUUAGUUGCUGGGAGUAGACCCGAAACCGGGUGAUCUAUCCAUGGCCAGGGUGAAGGUUAGGUAAAACUAACUGGAGGCCCGAACCCACUUAUGUUGAAAAAUGAGGGGAUGAGCUGUGGAUAGGGGUGAAAGGCCAAACAAACCCGGAGAUAGCUGGUUCUCUCCGAAAUCUAUUUAGGUAGAGCCUCAUGUAUUACUGUCGGGGGUAGAGCACUGUUAUGGUUAGCGGGUCGUCAAGGCUUAGUAAGCCAUUGCAAACUCCGAAUACCGACAAGUAUGAGCAUGGGAGACACACUGCGGGUGCUAACGUCCGUAGUGGAAAGGGAAACAACCCAGACCGUCAGCUAAGGUCCCAAAAUUGUAGUUAAGUGGGAAACGAUGUGAAAAGGCUAAGACAGCCAGGAAGUUGGCUUAGAAGCAGCCAUUCCUUUAAAGAGUGCGUAAUAGCUCACUGGUCGAGUCGGUUUGCGCGGAAGAUUUAACGGGGCUAAAACUACAUACCGAAGCUACGGAUUGCAAUUUAUUGCAAUGGUAGGAGAGCGUUCUGUAAGCCGUUGAAGGUAAACUGUAAGGUUUACUGGAGGUAUCAGAAGUGCGAAUGCUGACAUGAGUAACGAUAAAGGGGGUGAAAAACCCCCUCGCCAGAAGUCCAAGGUUUCCUACGCAACGUUAAUCGGCGUAGGGUUAGUCGGCCCCUAAGGCGAGGCAGAAAUGCGUAGUCGAUGGGAAAUAGGUUAAUAUUCCUAUACUUCAUAUAACUGCGAUGGGAAGACGGAGAAGGUUAGCGCAGCUUGGCUAUGGUUGUCCAAGUUCAAGCGUGUAGAAAUGAGUUUUAGGAAAAUCCGGAACUCUAUAUUUUAAGGCGUGAUAACGAUCCCUCUUUUGGGAGAAGUGCGUAAUACCAUGCUUCCAGGAAAAUCCUCUAAGCUUCAGGUUAUAUGAAACCGUACCCCAAACCGACACAGGUGGACGAGAUGAGAAUUCUAAGGCGCUUGAGAGAACUCGGGUGAAGGAACUAGGCAAAAUGACACCGUAACUUCGGGAGAAGGUGUGCUCUUGCCGGUAAUUUUACUUGCUGAAUGAAGCUGGUAAGAGUUGAAGAUACCAGGUGGCUCCGACUGUUUAUUAAAAACACAGCACUCUGCAAACACGUAAGUGGACGUAUAGGGUGUGACGCCUGCCCGGUGCUUGAAGGUUAAUUGAUGAGGUUAGGAUUUAUCCGAAGCUUUUGAUCGAAGCCCAAGUAAACGGCGGCCGUAACUAUAACGGUCCUAAGGUAGCGAAAUUCCUUGUCGGGUAAGUUCCGACCUGCACGAAUGGCGUAACGAGGGCUACACUGUCUCUACCCGAGACUCAGUGAAAUUGAAAUUGCUGUUAAGAUGCAGUAUACCCGCGGCCAGACGGAAAGACCCCGUGCACCUUUACUACAGCUUUGCAUUGAAUUUUGAUUCUACUUGUGUAGGAUAGGUGGUAGGCUUUGAAAUUUAGACGCUAGUCUGAGUGGAGCCAUCCUUGAAAUACCACCCUAGUAUGGUUAGAAUUCUAACCUAGGUCCAUUAUCUGGAUCAGGGACAAUGCAUGGUGGG
Molecule: ribosomal RNA, 1819 nt
Filed under: Vesicomya gigas gill symbiont
Lineage: Bacteria; Pseudomonadati; Pseudomonadota; Gammaproteobacteria
Description: bacterial LSU rRNA
Rfam family: Bacterial large subunit ribosomal RNA
Source: RNAcentral